RNAcentral lists this ribosomal RNA (253 nucleotides) under uncultured bacterium. Its description in RNAcentral is "partial 16S ribosomal RNA". It matches the Rfam family "Bacterial small subunit ribosomal RNA", at positions 524 to 776 of the family's 1533-position model. The record is from RNAcentral.
UACGGAGGGGGCUAGCGUUGUUCGGAAUUACUGGGCGUAAAGCGCACGUAGGCGGCUUUGUAAGUUAGAGGUGAAAGCCCAGGGCUCAACCCUGGAAUUGCCUUUAAGACUGCAUCGCUUGAGCAUCGGAGAGGUAAGUGGAAUUCCGAGUGUAGAGGUGAAAUUCGUAGAUAUUCGGAAGAACACCAGUGGCGAAGGCGGGUCUCUGGACAGUUCCUGACACUGAGGCACGAAGGCCAGGGGAGCAAACGGG